This 497-nucleotide ribosomal RNA is filed under the name uncultured bacterium. Its description in RNAcentral is "partial 16S ribosomal RNA". It matches the Rfam family "Bacterial small subunit ribosomal RNA", at positions 28 to 507 of the family's 1533-position model. The record is from RNAcentral.
GAUGAACGCUGGCGGCGUGCCUAAUACAUGCAAGUCGAGCGAACAGACGAGGAGCUUGCUCCUCUGACGUUAGCGGCGGACGGGUGAGUAACACGUGGAUCACCUACCUAUAAGACUGGGAUAACUUCGGGAAACCGGAGCUAAUACCGGAUAAUAUAUUGAACCGCAUGGUUCAAUAGUGAAAGACGGUUUUGCUGUCACUUAUAGCUGGAUCCGCGCCGCAUUAGCUAGUUGGUAAGGUAACGGCUUACCAAGGCAACGAUGCGUAGCCGACCUGAGAGAGUGAUCGGCCACACUGGAACUGAGACACGGUCCAGACUACUACGGGAGGCAGCAGUAGGGAAUCUUCCGCAAUGGGCGAAAGCCUGACGGAGCAACGCCGCGUGAGUGAUGAAGGUCUUCGGAUCGUAAAACUCUGUUAUUAGGGAAGAACAAAUGUGUAAGUAACUAUGCACGUCUUGACGGUACCUAAUCAGAAAGCCACGGCUAACUACGUG